UCACUCCAUCAAAACAUCUCCACCUCGAGAACUUCGCUUGGAGCUCGGCCGCGGACCGAGUGGACCGCCCAGAAUCUGAUUUGCCGUUCCAGGAAAGGAAAUCAAAUCUUGGAAAAAUUCAAAGCCUCCAACAUCCUCUCGAAAAAGGACCGGAUUUUCAUCACGCACCUGAUCGUUGAUGAGUUUACGGACGAAUUCGGUAAGCUUACCCGAGAAGAGCUUAUCAGAAGGUCUGCGGAAUUGUCUGCCUUAUUUCCAACAACCGACCAGCACAUAUGGUAUCAACCUGCAUUUUAUCGAGAUGCGAGUGGCAAAAAAAAUUAAACUAGGACGUGUGGCGAAAGGUUGUUUAUACGACCGGAAAUAACAAUUACCUAUCGGGCGGCGCUAAGACGACAAAAAAUCUACCAGGACCAUCAGAACAACGUACGAACUCCAAUCUUCAGCUGGACGUUACCAUCACGGAAGAUGCAGUGAUCGCUUAUCAGGAGAUCACUACCGAAGGUUACCAGCUUGUGAAAUUGGACUUCCAGCAGAAAUUUCCCGAGAAAGU
This is a long non-coding RNA of Aedes aegypti (yellow fever mosquito), 553 nucleotides long. RefSeq lists it as uncharacterized. The transcript is spliced from 3 exons. The record is from RefSeq and is a predicted model, not a curated record. Lineage: Eukaryota; Metazoa; Arthropoda; Insecta; Diptera; Culicidae.